This 696-nucleotide ribosomal RNA is filed under the name uncultured bacterium. RNAcentral describes it as "bacterial SSU rRNA". It matches the Rfam family "Bacterial small subunit ribosomal RNA", at positions 32 to 715 of the family's 1533-position model. The record is from RNAcentral.
AACGCUAGCUACAGGCUUAACACAUGCAAGUCGAGGGGAAACGACAUCGAAAGCUUGCUUUUGAUGGGCGUCGACCGGCGCACGGGUGAGUAACGCGUAUCCAACUUGCCCACCACUUGGGGAUAACCUUGCGAAAGUAAGACUAAUACCCAAUGAUAUCUCUAGAAGACAUCUGAAAGAGAUUAAAGAUUUAUCGGUGAUGGAUGGGGAUGCGUCUGAUUAGCUUGUUGGCGGGGUAACGGCCCACCAAGGCGACGAUCAGUAGGGGUUCUGAGAGGAAGGUCCCCCACAUUGGAACUGAGACACGGUCCAAACUCCUACGGGAGGCAGCAGUGAGGAAUAUUGGUCAAUGGGCGAGAGCCUGAACCAGCCAAGUAGCGUGCAGGAUGACGGCCCUAUGGGUUGUAAACUGCUUUUAUAAGGGAAUAAAGUGAGUCUCGUGAGACUUUUUGCAUGUACCUUAUGAAUAAGGACCGGCUAAUUCCGUGCCAGCAGCCGCGGUAAUACGGAAGGUCCGGGCGUUAUCCGGAUUUAUUGGGUUUAAAGGGAGCGUAGGCCGUCUGUUAAGCGUGUUGUGAAAUGUAGAUGCUCAACAUCUGAAUUGCAGCGCGAACUGGCAGACUUGAGUGUGCGCAACGUAGGCGGAAUUCGUGGUGUAGCGGUGAAAUGCUUAGAUAUCACGAAGAACUCCGAUUG